UUCACAAGCAGUGCGUAGGUCCACACCCAGGAUCUGAACCAGGCAGCCAAAGCAGAACGUGCAAAUUUAACCGCUGCACCAGUGGGCCGGCCCCUAAACACAGAAUCUUGAGCUUGCCUCAGCCCUGCUAAAUCAGAACCUGCAUUUAAACAAGACCUCUAAAGGGUCCAUUAUGUUUCAGUAUCUGAGAAGCACUGCCCUGGGGUGCCAUGUUCCUCCUAGUCCAUUUCUUCAUUUUGGGACUGGACCUCUGGCAGAGCCAAAUGGCUGCGGGUUGGGGGGCACCCAGAAGGUAUAACCUCUCCUCCUUGAUCCACAAUUUUUCUCCAGCUAAAAUGGUAACUCCCAGGGUCUUUUUUUUUUUUUUUUUGAGGAAGAGUAGCCCUGAGCUAACAUCUGUGCCCAUCUUCCUCCACUUUAUGCAUGGGACGCCUGCCACAGCAUGGCUUGAUCAGCGGUGUGUACGUCCGCCCCCAGGAUCCAAACCAGUGAAUCCUGGGCCACCAAAACAGAGCACGUGAACUUAACCACUGUACCACUGGGCCAGUCCCAACUCCCAGGGUCUCAAAGAAACUUCAUGGAAAUAGCACAGAAACAACACAAGAAGGCUUUGUGAAGGUCAUUUUUGUGAGUAGUGAGAAAUCAAAACAGAAGUCCCACAGAUGGGGAAGGUCUGGGGCAGGAGUGGACGCAUGCUUUGGUUCUCUGAAGCCCAGGGGAAGGGAACAAUGUGUAAUUUGUGACCCAGUGAGAGGCAGGGUAUGCUUUCUCUCAGUUUCUGUGGGAAGCACACCUGGUGGCUCAGGAGUUUACCCUGAAGGUGAGGCACUGGCUUUCCUCCCUGUCUCUGUGGGUCUCUGAUGCCUCCAUUCUUUCAUUCUCACUAACUUAGAAAAGCCAACUUGAAAAUGCUCUAAUCUGAGGGAUCAAGUGUCUUGGCCACGAUGCUAGUCCUUGCAGAGGGUGUUCUCCAGGAUUAAUAUCUGCAGAGUUUGCUCUGAGACCACCACGCACAGGACCAGUAUCCCCCUGCAACUGAAAAGGUGGCAGCACCAGAAUCAUCAGCACAGCCUAGGAGGGUUUGUGACCUGGCAGAAGGUGACUUGCAUCAGGCGAGAGGAGCCACUGUGAGGAGCUCGGGUACAUAGUUGUACAUUUUAGCCGUGGGUCCUUCUAGUUGUGGCAUGUGGGACACUGCCUCAACACGGCCUGAUGAACAGUGCCAUGUCCGCGCCCAGGAUCCGAAUCGGCGAAACCCUGGGCCACUGAAGCGGAGCGCAUGAACUUAACUGCUCGGCCACGGGGCGGGCCCCAUCGCAGCCAUUUUUAAGUGUACGGUUCAGUAGUGUCUUGCGUUUUCCGAGAUGCUCCGGAACUCUAGAAGGACAAAGAAGCAUUUCACAUCCUUCUUCAGGGAAAGCAGCACCCUCCAAGGAAGAGUGGCUCCACCCUGACUAGCCACAGAGUGGCCCAAGGCCAGUCCCAGCCAAGUUCAUAAGGAGGCCUGCCAGUGUGGCAAUGCUGAAUCACCUGCUUGGUUUACUGGCAGUGACUGGCCUCACCAUGACUGGGCAAGACUGUGAGCUUUCCCAGUCUGGGCCAGUGGAUGUACGGGCAGAAUAGAGCUGGGGGUGAGGGCAGAGGCCUGAGCAGAAUGCCAAAGCUGGGAAAUGUUGCGGGCUCCUCCCACUACGCGGCGGCCUCUCUCCACCCUUGAUUAGGUCGGCUCCUGCUUCUCUGGUCCUCACAGGGAUGGGGCUUUCCACCGCAGCCCAGGUCCCAUCAUAGUACUUCCUGUCUCCAAUGCGACUCCAACCUGACCUGCAAUUGUGGUAUCCGGCAUGGCAGGGGGUGAUCUGCACCCCACACAAGCAAUGAGUCACAGCCUGUGUGGUCCAGUCUGUGGGCUAGUCACUUCCUGUCGUUCCUGCUGGAGCCCUGCGCCAGAGCCCAGUCAUUAGACAGGCCUUGACUUUAACCCAGUUAUUCCAGAAGCACCCCCACUUGUGUCCAGGGGACCUGGGAAGCUGGUGGUGGUGAGAAUCUUCUGCUCCGUCCUCCUCCAGGCCUGCUAGUCUUUCUUCUCUGCCUGCUAGUCUCUAAGAGAUUGUCAGAGCUACUAUGCUGCCCAUAACAACAAGGCCAAAACAACAGACAACUAAGGGAGGAGGGUGACAGAAAUCAAAGAAACAGAGAAUUCUCUGUCCCAGUCCCCACAAAAGCACCGGCCCCACCGCUUCUGACAACUGGUCUGCCUCUCAGCCAGCAUCUGAGCCUACGAUGUUCCCCUUCCUGGCGACAUAGUUCAUGCCAUUCAUGGAUUGUUCCUACUUAUUAGGAAAUUAUUCCUUAUAAUGAGACCAAAUCUGCUCUCCUAUAAUAUUUUUCAUCUUUUCAUAUGUUUAUUGGAUAUUUGCAUUUCAUUCACAAAAUAUUGUACCUUCUUGUCUAAUUUUCAAACUUAUUGCUCUAAAGUUGUACCUACUAUUUUUUAUCUAUUCAAAUAUCUAUUCUUUUGUCUUCUUUCUUAUUACAAACAUUAGUUUUAUUUUCUCCUUUUUCAACUUGAUACCACUUUCCAAAUGUUUAUUUUAUUGUUUUCCCUUCAAUGAGUUAGCAUUGGGUUUGAUUGAUCAAAUUUAUUUGUUUUUGUUUUAUUUAUUUCUGCUUUUAUCUUUAGUAAUUUCUGCUUAUACUUCCUUUUGAUUUAUUUUGCUAAUCACUUGCCAGCUUCCUGCUUGAAAACUUCGUUCACUUAAUGUCAGUCUUUCUUGUUUUAUUAUCAAUGCUCCUGUGGGUAUGCGUUUUCCUGAGUAUUGCUUUGAUCACAUCUCCCAGAUCUUGACAUGUAGCUCACUAAUUAUUUCUGAAUCGUUUGUAAUUUGUUUUUUUAAAUUUCCUUUUGAAACCAAGAAUCAUUUAGAAAGCCAUUAUAAAAAUUUUCAAGUUAACAAUUUUGGCUAAAUUUUUGUUAAUUUUUUUAUUCUAUUUAUUACAUUAAGGUUAGAGAAUACAGCCUGUAUGACUUCUCACUUUUCCGUAAUUCUAAUCCACCUGACUCAGGUCUGUUCUCUGGUCCCUCUUAAAUUUUUGUUCCUCUUUCAUGGGAUGCUCCAAUAAAUAAUUGACAGCAGUUACUUAGUGGUCUCUAUGGAGGGAGGGGAGUGUGCAGUCCUCCCCGGAGCCUUUUUCGUCUUCUGAGGGCUUCUUAAACUAUUCAGAUGGCUCACGUUUCUGCCCCCCAUCCCAUCACCAUCACUGUGUGCUGAGACAGAAAAGGAAAAUCUGCUCCAAGUUAGACAUUCUCGGUAGGACGGGUGUGGCGUGCCCUCACUGUCUGGGGUUCAUCUCUGGAGCUGUUUGAGUCUCUCCACGUCCCUCCUUGGUAAACCUACAAAGUCAACACGGUGCUCGCAGCCUGCAGGGAGCUGUACGUCUCUCUCUUUUGCCCUAGAGGCUGUACUUCUCUUAUGUUUCAAAGGAAGCUUUGUCUUUAUUAUAGCCCAGACCAUCAAGUAAAGCCCCCUGCCAGCGUUUCUCACACUGUGUUCCAUGGAAAACCAGUCUCGUAGAUAUUAAUAGGCGAUGUAUAGAAAGGGGUCUGUUUGGGGACUGCUGAAUUAAACAAAGAGAACUGACCACCAUGGGCAUCUCAGAGCCUUUGUAUUCUGUGUUAAUUGACUUUGUAAGAGGAGAAGGAAGCAUGGUUGUGUUUCCCAAACUAAUCUGGAAUGCACCCCUUCUGUGGGACACGAAGUCAGUGUUCCAGAACAGACACUGUAUGCCAUGCUGCCCAACGCCCUAUUUUCAAAUGUACUCCUAUGAAGCCUUUUGUUUGUCUUGAUCAAAUUUUAUUUAGCCCAGUGAUUAGAGUCAGUUCUUAACGCUACCCUUUCAGUGGGUUUGUAUCUUGAUUUUACAAUCUAGUGUUUCUGCCACCCCUCUGGGAUUCUUACUGCCGACAGAGCAGAUCAGCCUGACACCUGUAUUCUCACGUAAUGCACAGAUAAGCGCUCAGAAAGGACAGGGCCUUGCAGUGUGCCCCUGGCAUAGGGAGGACUCACAUUUCAUUCCAUGGAAGGACUUCGAUUGGUGGAGGCUGCCUAAACCAGCACCUGUGAGACUUCCUUGUGCAGGUGAGUCACCUGGGAAUAUUGCUAAAAUGAAGAGUCUGAUUCAACGAGCUUGGAGUGGGAUCUGAGAUUUUGCAUUUCCAACGAGCUCCCUGGUGGUGCUGAUGCUGCCGUUUUGAGUAGUAAGGUGUUAGAGCACUGUGUUGAGAAGGAAUCUGAGCCUACAUUUGUGCUCAGUGGGAAAGAGUGCCAUGACUAACUAGUAACGUCUGCCAUGGGCAGACGAGUGAGCUGUGAAUACAUGCCAUCUUUGCCCUACGAGUCUCUCUCUGUUGAAAAUGAUGUAUUAUUCAAGACAGCAGAGAAAAAAUAAGUUAUUCAUAUGAUAGCAUGUUACACAAGCAUGAAAAUGGAUGUCUAUAUAUUCUAGAUGGCAUAAAUUCUAAGAUAUAUUGUUAUAUUUUUUAAAAAGGCCAGGUUGGAGAAUAAACUAUACACUACUCUCUCAUUUGUGCAAAAUAAUUGAUAAUCAUAUACUCUGACAAUAUCAAGAGUUGAUAAAGCUGUAGAAAAUGGGAACAUUCUUAGACUGCUGGUGAGAAUGUGAACAGGUAUAACCGCUUUGGAAAACUGUCUGCAUUAUUAUUAAAAUUGAAGACAUUUAUACUCUACAGCCCAGUAAUUCUCCUUCUGGGUACACACAUGAGAGAAACUCACACACCUGUUCACCAAGACCCCUGGACAAGAAUAUUCACAGCAGCAUUUUAGGUAAUAGCCCCAAAUGGAAAACAACUCAAAUGUCCCUCAAGAGGAAAAUGGAUACAUUAUUCUAAAUUCCUAAUGAAAUACUACACGAUAAUAAAAUUGACAAAACUACACCUAUAUGUGGAUGAAUAUCACAAACAAAAUCUUGACUGAAAGAAGAAAGAAACAAAAGAGGAUACAUGUAUGAUUCCAUUCUGUAAAUUUUAGAAAUAUGAAAAACUAAGGUUUAUUUCUUAGGGAUAUAUAUGCAGGUGCUAAAGUUUUCUUUUUCUAAAAUCAAACACAAGGAAAUGACUAUCAUAAAAGUCAGAAUCAUGGGCACUUAAAAGGGUGAGAUAGUUAUGAUCAGGGAAGGGCACACAGGGGAUUUGGGCAGGAGCUUCUCAUUUCUGUUCCUUCAGCUGGGUGUCAGUGAGUUUUUUUUAUUUAACUCUACAUGCAAGGUUUUUGUUUUUGCAUUUAUCUAUGUGUUAUAUACAACACAUACAAAUAUAUGUGAUUUUUGUAGAGAAUUUUUUUGGAAGGAGACAUAGGAAACUGGUAAUCAUGAUUACCCUACAGAGGAGAACCGGGCUUUGGAGUAUCCAGAUGGCAGGCUUAGCUUUCAUCUUAUUUCUUUAGUUCAGUUGGAAUGUUUUUACCAGCUCUUUCUAUUAAAAAUAGUUACUUAAAAACUAGUAUCUCCCAUUGCCCACCUCUCCCCCAGCUCCACAAAUAAAAAAAUAGCAUCAUUCUACUUAUAUGUAGAACCUUUGACAGACAUUAAUCAAUUCACCAAUAUUUAAUUGCCACAUAUCUGGGCAUAAUGGGGGAUUCCACCCCCUGUCCCCUUGAAGGUGUGACCAUGUGACUUGCUCUUGCUAAUGAAAUGUAAACAGAAGUGACAUGUGUCACAUCUGGAAAGCAGCAGUUAACAGUCAGUGCAUGUUCUCCAUCUUCCUUUCCCUCUUUGGUGGUGACCAAUGGUGUCUCAGAUGGUGGAGCCCCUGUUAACUUGGGUUCCUGAAUUGCAGUGUACAUGCAAUGUUAGUGAAAAAUAAACUUGUGUAGUUUUGAGCCAC
Molecule: non-coding RNA, 5899 nt
Organism: Equus caballus (horse)
Lineage: Eukaryota; Metazoa; Chordata; Mammalia; Perissodactyla; Equidae
Source: RefSeq, a predicted model, not a curated record